UACGAAGGGUGCAAACGUUGCUCGGAAUCAUUGGGCGUAAAGCGCACGUAGGCGGCUUCGCAAGUCGGAUGUGAAAUCCCACGGCUCAACCAUGGACGUGCAUCCGAAACUGUGAGGCUUGAGUAUGGAAGAGGGUCGCGGAAUUCCCGGUGUAGAGGUGAAAUUCGUAGAUAUCGGGAGGAACACCGGCGGCGAAGGCGGCUGCCUGGACCAGUCCUGACGC
This 223-nucleotide ribosomal RNA is filed under the name uncultured bacterium. RNAcentral describes it as "partial 16S ribosomal RNA". It matches the Rfam family "Bacterial small subunit ribosomal RNA", at positions 524 to 746 of the family's 1533-position model. The record is from RNAcentral.